This 18-nucleotide unclassified non-coding RNA is filed under the name Mus musculus (house mouse). Its description in RNAcentral is "oocyte_clustered_small_RNA2368". Lineage: Eukaryota; Metazoa; Chordata; Mammalia; Rodentia; Muridae. The record is from RNAcentral.
GUCGGCUACUCGGAGGCG